AGAUAUUUUAACUAAACCCAAGUAUAUACUUUGAAAGUAUAAAAUAGGAUCUUCCUAAAUAUCUA
Molecule: transfer RNA, 65 nt
Filed under: Ornithodoros parkeri
Lineage: Eukaryota; Metazoa; Arthropoda; Arachnida; Ixodida; Argasidae
Description: tRNA-Ser
Source: RNAcentral